Molecule: ribosomal RNA, 515 nt
Filed under: uncultured bacterium
Lineage: Bacteria
Description: bacterial SSU rRNA
Rfam family: Bacterial small subunit ribosomal RNA
Source: RNAcentral
CCUACGGGAGGCAGCAGUAAGGAAUAUUGGACAAUGGACGCAAGUCUGAUCCAGCCAUGCCGCGUGAAGGAUUAAGGCCCUCUGGGUUGUAAACUUCUUUUAUAGGGGACGAAAAAGGGAUUUUCUAAUCCAACUGACGGUACCCUAUGAAUAAGCACCGGCUAACUCCGUGCCAGCAGCCGCGGUAAUACGGAGGGUGCAAGCGUUAUCCGGAUUCACUGGGUUUAAAGGGUGCGUAGGCGGGCAAUUAAGUCAGUGGUGAAAUCUUGGGGCUCAACCCCGAAACUGCCAUUGAUACUAUUUGUCUUGAAUACUGUGGAGGUUAGCGGAAUAUGUCAUGUAGCGGUGAAAUGCUUAGAUAUGACAUAGAACACCGAUUGCGAAGGCAGCUGGCUACACAAGCAUUGACGCUGAGGCACGAAAGCGUGGGGAUCAAACAGGAUUAGAUACCCUGGUAGUCCCACGACCUAACCUACUAGAUACUACGACAUUGUCGAUACACAGUAAGUAGUCUG